CUUCCCCAAGCUUCUCCUUCCUUUUGUCUUUUUUGUCCCUUUUUUAUUUCUUCCUCGUCUUCUCCGGCGAAGCUUUUCUUUCGCUUCUCUUUACUUCUUCUUCGUCUUCUCCGACUUCUUUUAAUCUUCAUCUUUGUUCCCAGCUUCUUUUCUCUUCGAAUAAUGGCGUCGCUUCCGCCUUUAUCUACUCGUCCUUCAUUAGACUAUACCCUGCUCAAAACGUAUCUUG
This 229-nucleotide long non-coding RNA is filed under the name Ananas comosus (pineapple). RNAcentral describes it as "long non-coding RNA (ACOM_LNC001778)". Lineage: Eukaryota; Viridiplantae; Streptophyta; Magnoliopsida; Poales; Bromeliaceae. The record is from RNAcentral.